UACGGAGGGGGUUAGCGUUGUUCGGAAUUACUCGGGCGUAAAGCGCGCGUAGGGCGGAUUGGAAAGUUGGGGGUGAAAUCCCGGGGGCUCAACCCCGGAACUGCCUCCAAAACUUCCAGUCUGGAGUUCGAGAGAGGUGAGUGGAAUUCCGAGUGUAGAGGUGAAAUUCGUAGAUAUUCGGAGGAACACCAGCGGCGAAGGCGGCUCACUGGCUCGAUACUGACGCUGAGGUGCGAAAGUGUGGGGAGCAAACAGGAUUAGAUACCCGGGUAGU
RNAcentral lists this ribosomal RNA (274 nucleotides) under uncultured bacterium. RNAcentral describes it as "partial 16S ribosomal RNA". It matches the Rfam family "Bacterial small subunit ribosomal RNA", at positions 524 to 794 of the family's 1533-position model. The record is from RNAcentral.